This is a long non-coding RNA of Mustela erminea (ermine), 1581 nucleotides long. RefSeq lists it as uncharacterized. The record is from RefSeq and is a predicted model, not a curated record. The transcript is spliced from 5 exons. NCBI's taxonomy places the organism in Eukaryota, Metazoa, Chordata, Mammalia, Carnivora, Mustelidae.
CCCUCCAGUCCCAGGAGCAAUUCCUGGAAAGGCCUACCUUAGUGUUUCCUUUUUGCCUUUUUGACUCUUCCAAUAUAUGGGCUAAUCAUUCUUCCCCCCUCCCCCCAACCCUUGGUUAAUCAUUCCUUAUAUUACAUUUUAUCUGUGGAGUAAACGUCUCGUUGACAUUAUAACCAAAUUUGCUGAGUGGGGCUAAUUGUGGCUGCGGACUAAUAAACUCAGCGGCAGAUUUUCGCCCAGACUUUUCCUUGGCACUUACAUUUCCCUGACCUUCCUCUGUUAAAGGUGGAUUUGGAGCUCAUUCUCUUGUUUCAGUCCUUUUGCUGCCUCUUCCCUUGCUCCACGCUCCGUGACUCGGUGACUGGCUUUGUCGCGCACAGAACAACAUGAGCCUGGGCUUGGUUACAAAUUUGGCAAGUCAACCGGUUGGUUGUUCUUUGCCCGUGGCUCUUUGGGCCCCCAGCCAGUAACAGGAGUCUGGAGGGAAGUCUAAGCAGCUGCCUACACUCUUUGCCCUAGGGACUGUCCCCAGGGCCCCACCCCGAGUGGACACUGCUGGCCUUCAGCGCCUAAUUUAAUUCUUACUGCCAGGAGUCGGAGUGGGGGUUUGGUUUGCACAGCCUUCUCUUGAAGUCCUGCAAACCAAAGCUAGAGAACUUGAAGUAAACCUCCAGGAAAAUCACCACACUGGCCCAUGCUUGUCUGUUGCUUCAUGAGUCACUCAGAAAGAUCACCAGAACAAGUUUGUUCUAGCCAUCCUGAUUUGAUGGAUCUACCAUUGGAAAUUCCAGACUUUGAAAUGAUUAUGGAUGGGAGCAGUUUGAUGGAUCAAGGACAGCAAAGAGCUGGAUGCAAAGGUGACCCAUCAGCUAUUGUCCAAUGCUGAGGACCCUCCAAAUUGUUUGAUUCCUCAACGGAAUAAUCAACCAGACCUUUAUGAAGGGUCUUACAUAAGCUCGUAACCCUUAUGAAGACCACAAAACACUUUAUAAUGGCUUCGGUACUACAUCUAGACUUAGUUAAAUACUAGCCCCAAUAUUCCCUGAAGAGCCUCAGAAGAACUAAAGAAUGGGGAUUUGGAUACCCUACUGGCACUAAAACCAGCUGGAAAUAUAAUGAAUCCUUAUCCCGGAACAUCUUACACAAGAAACGGUUGGUUCACCAUAUUCACCAAAGCACCUAUUAUGGGUGAAAUAUAUUCUUCAGUGGAUCCAGAAGUAUUUGGUGGGGCCCAAUCAUCAGAUAACUAUUCAAAAGUACUCUUCCAAUAUUCCAUACGUGACAAGAACUUUGGAUGUAUCCACCUGCUGGAGCUGGCUCCCCAGUGUGUGCCGAUCUACUAGAACUCUCUGUGGCCUGCCAUCAAUAUGCCUGAGCAAUCUGGCUGUCAAGAAGCACAGAAUAAAAAUUUGGUUCACCUCCAGCUUAUGCACAAGACCUCAAGUAACGAAACGACUACCGGAGAAAACAGGAUACAUUCGACAUGUAUUAAGCGCCAACUAAGAGUGGAGAACUGUGCUAGAAGACCCGGUGGUUCAGCCAAGGUGAAAAGGACGCAGCUCCCACCUCGCAGGAGUUCAG